AUUGAACGCUGGCGGCAUGCCUUACACAUGCAAGUCGAACGGCAGCACGGGUGCUUGCACCUGGUGGCGAGUGGCGAACGGGUGAGUAAUACAUCGGAACAUGUCCUGUAGUGGGGGAUAGCCCGGCGAAAGCCGGAUUAAUACCGCAUACGAUCUACGGAUGAAAGCGGGGGACCUUCGGGCCUCGCGCUAUAGGGUUGGCCGAUGGCUGAUUAGCUAGUUGGUGGGGUAAAGGCCUACCAAGGCGACGAUCAGUAGCUGGUCUGAGAGGACGACCAGCCACACUGGGACUGAGACACGGCCCAGACUCCUAACGGAGGCAGCAGUGGGGAAUUUUGGACAAUGGGCGAAAGCCUGAUCCAGCAAUGCCGCGUGUGUGAAGAAGGCCUUCGGGUUGUAAAGCACUUUUGUCCGGAAAGAAAUCCUUGGCCCUAAUACGGUCGGGGGAUGACGGUACCGGAAGAAUAAGCACCGGCUAACUACGUG
This 486-nucleotide ribosomal RNA is filed under the name uncultured bacterium. Its description in RNAcentral is "partial 16S ribosomal RNA". It matches the Rfam family "Bacterial small subunit ribosomal RNA", at positions 30 to 507 of the family's 1533-position model. The record is from RNAcentral.